Molecule: ribosomal RNA, 459 nt
Filed under: uncultured bacterium
Lineage: Bacteria
Description: partial 16S ribosomal RNA
Rfam family: Bacterial small subunit ribosomal RNA
Source: RNAcentral
CCUACGGGUGGCAGCAGUGAGGAAUAUUGGUCAAUGGCCGGAAGUCUGAACCAGCCAAGCCGCGUGAAGGAGGAAGGCGCAGAGCGUCGCAAACCUCUUUUGCCGGGGGACAAAAGGCCGGACUCGUCCGGUCCUGAAGGUACCCGGAGAAAAAGCAUCGGCUAACUCCGUGCCAGCAGCCGCGGUAAUACGGAGGAUGCGAGCGUUAUCCGGAUUCAUUGGGUUUAAAGGGUGCGCAGGCGGGCCUUUAAGCCGGCGGUGAAAUCGCGGGGCUCAACCCCGCAGUGCCGUCGGAACUGGGGGCCUUGAGUGCGGCGGAGGUAUGCGGAAUGCGUGGUGUAGCGGUGAAAUGCAUAGAUAUCGCGAAGAACCCCGAUUGCGAAGGCAGCGCGCCGGGCUGCCACUGACGCUGAGGCACGAAAGCGUGGGGAUCGAACAGGAUUAGAUACCCGAGUAGUC